This 207-nucleotide ribosomal RNA is filed under the name uncultured bacterium. Its description in RNAcentral is "partial 16S ribosomal RNA". It matches the Rfam family "Bacterial small subunit ribosomal RNA", at positions 568 to 774 of the family's 1533-position model. The record is from RNAcentral.
CGUGCAGGCGGUUUGGAAAGUUGGAUGUGAAAGCUCCUGGCUCAACUAGGAGAGGACGUUCAAAACUACCAGACUAGAGGACGGUAGAGGGAGGUGGAAUUCCCGGUGUAGUGGUGAAAUGCGUAGAUAUCGGGAGGAACACCAGUGGCGAAGGCGGCCUCCUGGGCCGUUCCUGACGCUCAGACGCGAAAGCUAGGGUAGCAAACG